This 393-nucleotide ribosomal RNA is filed under the name uncultured bacterium. RNAcentral's name for it is "partial 16S ribosomal RNA". It matches the Rfam family "Bacterial small subunit ribosomal RNA", at positions 523 to 918 of the family's 1533-position model. The record is from RNAcentral.
AUACGGAGGAUGCGAGCGUUAUCCGGAUUUAUUGGGUUUAAAGGGUGCGUAGGCUGUGCGUUAAGUCAGGGGUGAAAUGCCGUCGCUCAACGACGGAGCUGCCCUUGAUACUGGCGUGCUGGAGUACGGAUGCCGUUGGAGGAAUGAGUGGUGUAGCGGUGAAAUGCUUAGAUAUCACUCAGAACACCGAUUGCGAAGGCAUCUGACGAAUCCGUCACUGACGCUGAGGCACGAAAGCGUGGGGAUAGAACAGGAUUAGAUACCCUGGUAUUCCACGCCGUAAACGAUGAUGACUAACCGUCGGCGAUAGACAGCCGGUGGCCAAGCGAAAGCGAUAAGUCAUCCACCUGGGGAGUACGUCGGCAACGAUGAAACUUAAAUGAAUUGACGGGG